AACGAACGCUGGCGGCGUGGAUAAGACAUGCAAGUCGAACGGGAUUUUUUUCUGUAGCAAUACAGGAAAAAGUCUAGUGGCGAACGGGUGCGUAACACGUGAGCAACCUGCCGUGAAGUGGGGGAUAGCUCGCCGAAAGGCGAAUUAAUACCGCAUGUGGCCAAGGAAGACAUCUUCCUGACGCCAAAGCCGGGGCAACCUGGCGCUUCUCGAGGGGCUCGCGGCCUAUCAGCUUGUUGGUGAGGUAACGGCUCACCAAGGCUAUGACGGGUAGCUGGUCUGAGAGGACGACCAGCCACACUGGAACAGAGACACGGUCCAGACACCUACGGGGGGCAGCAGUCGAGAAUUUUUCACAAUGGGGGAAACCCUGAUGGAGCGACGCCGCGUGGAGGAUGAAGGUUUUCGGAUUGUAAACUCCUGUCAUAGAGAACAAGGCAUACGGUUUAACUGGCCGUGUGUUGAUAGUAUCUGAAGAGGAAGAGACGGCUAACUCUGUGCCAGCAGCCGCCGUAA
RNAcentral lists this ribosomal RNA (516 nucleotides) under uncultured bacterium. Its description in RNAcentral is "partial 16S ribosomal RNA". It matches the Rfam family "Bacterial small subunit ribosomal RNA", at positions 29 to 523 of the family's 1533-position model. The record is from RNAcentral.